UACGUAGGAGGCAAGCGUUGUCCGGAGUUACUGGGCGUAAAGCGCACGCAGGCGGUCGCAUUAGUCUGGGGUGACAGUUCCCGGCUUAACCGGAAAAGGACUCUGGAAACUGUGCGACUUGAGGGCUUCAGAGGGAUGUGGAAUUCCUGGUGUAGCGGUGAAAUGCGUAGAGAUCAGGAAGAACACCGGUGGCGAAAGCGUUCUGCUAGACCUGUACUGACACUGAGGGACGAAAGCUAGGGGAGCGAAUGGG
Molecule: ribosomal RNA, 253 nt
Filed under: uncultured bacterium
Lineage: Bacteria
Description: partial 16S ribosomal RNA
Rfam family: Bacterial small subunit ribosomal RNA
Source: RNAcentral